GGGCGUGUAACUCAGCGGUUAGAGUGCCUCCCUUACAAGGAGGAAGUCGGGGGUUCGAGUCCCUCCACGCCCA
Molecule: transfer RNA, 73 nt
Filed under: Gemmata massiliana
Lineage: Bacteria; Pseudomonadati; Planctomycetota; Planctomycetia; Gemmatales; Gemmataceae
Also listed under: 6 other names
Rfam family: tRNA
About the family: Transfer RNA (tRNA) molecules are approximately 80 nucleotides in length. Their secondary structure includes four short double-helical elements and three loops (D, anti-codon, and T loops). Further hydrogen bonds mediate the characteristic L-shaped molecular structure. tRNAs have two regions of fundamental functional importance: the anti-codon, which is responsible for specific mRNA codon recognition, and the 3' end, to which the tRNAs corresponding amino acid is attached (by aminoacyl-tRNA synthetases). tRNAs cope with the degeneracy of the genetic code in two manners: having more than one tRNA (with a specific anti-codon) for a particular amino acid; and 'wobble' base-pairing, i.e. permitting non-standard base-pairing at the 3rd anti-codon position.
Source: RNAcentral